AUACGGAGGGUGCGAGCGUUAAUCGGAAUUACUGGGCGUAAAGCGUACGUAGGCGGUUGGUUAAGUUAGAUGUGAAAGCCCCGGGCUUAACCUGGGAACUGCAUUUAAAACUGACGAACUAGAGUUGAGUAGAGGGGAGUGGAAUUUCAGGUGUAGCGGUGAAAUGCGUAGAGAUCUGAAGGAACACCAGUGGCGAAGGCGACUCCCUGGACUCGAACUGACGCUGAGGUACGAAAGCGUGGGUAGCAAACGGGAUUAGAAACCCUUGUAGUCC
RNAcentral lists this ribosomal RNA (274 nucleotides) under uncultured bacterium. RNAcentral's name for it is "partial 16S ribosomal RNA". It matches the Rfam family "Bacterial small subunit ribosomal RNA", at positions 523 to 796 of the family's 1533-position model. The record is from RNAcentral.